CCUACGGGCGGCAGCAGUGAGGAAUAUUGGUCAAUGGGCGCGAGCCUGAACCAGCCAAGUCGCGUGAAGGAUGAAUGCACUGCGGGUUGUAAACCUCUUUUAUAAAGGAAUAAAGUCAGGCACGUGUGCCCGUUUGUAUGUACUUUAUGAAUAAGGAUCGGCUAACUCCGUGCCAGCAGCCGCGGUAAUACGGAGGAUCCGAGCGUUAUCCGGAUUUAUUGGGUUUAAAGGGAGCGUAGAGUGGUUGUUAAGUCAGUUGUGAAAGGUUGCGGCUCAACCGUAAAAGUGCAAUUGAUACGGGCAGGCUUGAGUACAGUUGAGGUAGGCGGAAUUCGUGGUGUAGCGGUGAAAUGCUUAGGUAUCACGAAGAACUCCGAUUGCGAAGGCAGCUUAC
RNAcentral lists this ribosomal RNA (394 nucleotides) under uncultured bacterium. RNAcentral's name for it is "partial 16S ribosomal RNA". It matches the Rfam family "Bacterial small subunit ribosomal RNA", at positions 338 to 729 of the family's 1533-position model. The record is from RNAcentral.